This 1208-nucleotide ribosomal RNA is filed under the name uncultured soil bacterium PBS-71. Its description in RNAcentral is "bacterial SSU rRNA". It matches the Rfam family "Bacterial small subunit ribosomal RNA", at positions 100 to 1277 of the family's 1533-position model. The record is from RNAcentral. Lineage: Bacteria; Pseudomonadati; Planctomycetota; Planctomycetia; Planctomycetales.
AUGGGUAACGUAACGUGCCUGGAACUCAGGGAUAGCGUCNGGCCCGCAAGGGUCCUUUGCGAAAGUGACGGUAAUACCUGAUGACGUCACGAGGACACAUGUUCUUGUGACCAAAGGUGGGGACCGCAAGGCCUACCGGUUUCAGAGCGGCCCAUGCCCUAUCAGCUAGUUGGUGAGGUAACGGCCCACCAAGGCUUUGACGGGUAGCCGGCGUGAGAGCGCGACCGGCCACAUCGGAACUGAGACACUGUCCGGACACCUACGGGUGGCUGCAGCAACGAAUAUUCCGCAAUGGGCGCAAGCCUGACGGAGCGACGCCGCGUGAAGGAUGAAGUCCUUCGGGAUGUAAACUUCAAUAGUUUGUCAGGAAGCAAUCCGGGCUAAUACCCCGGUGCGUUGACCAGCAGACGAAAGGGACGGCUAACUCCGUGCCAGCAGCCGCGGUAAGACGGAGGUCCCUAGCGUUGUUCGGAAUUACUGGGCUUAAAGCGCGUGUAGGCGGAAGGGCAAGUACCUUGUGAAAUCCCCGGGCUCAACCCGGGAAUAGCUGGGUAUACUGCCUUUCUUGAGGCAGGUAGGGGUCACUGGAACCUUAGGUGGAGCGGUGAAAUGCGUAGAUAUCUAAGGGAACGCCUGUGGCGAAAGCGGGUGACUGGGCCUGUCCUGACGCUGAGACGCGAAAGCGUAGGGAGCAAACGGGAUUAGAUACCCCGGUAGUCUACGCCGUAAACGAUGCGCACUAGGUUCGAGGGUCCCUGACGACUCUCGAGCCNAAAUAAAAACGAUAAGUGCGCCGCCUGGGGAGUACGGCCGCAAGGCUAAAACUCAAAGGAAUUGACGGGGGCUCACACAAGCGGUGGAACAUGUGGAUCAAUUCGAAGCAACGCGAANAACCUUACCUGGGUUUGACAUGCACGGAUGCCGUCCAUGAAAGUGGAGCCGGCUGCCUUCGGGUGAAACGUGUACAGGUGCUGCAUGGCUGUCGUCAGCUCGUGCUGUGAAGUGUCGGGUUAAGUCCCUUAACGAGCGAAACCCUUAUCUCUAGUUGCCAACGGGUCAUGCCGGGAACUCUAGUGAGACUGCCGGCGUUAANCCGGAGGAAGGUGGGGAUGACGUCAAGUCAUCAUGGCCUUUAUGCCCAGGGUGUCACACGUGCUACAAUGGGGCGUACAGAGCGAAGCAAAGCCGCGAGGUANAGCAAAUCGCAA